AUGCUCAAUCUUCCCCAUCUGUGUGUCAUUGUACCGGGACAGCGGCAGGUCAAGGAUGACCGGCUUCUUCUCGCAGUUGAGCACCUGGGAGAAAUCCAGGCUCUGAUAGUACUGGCCUGGUGCGCCAUAGAUGCAGUCAUUGAAGUCCACCUCCAAUGGGUGUGCGCCCUUCAUCGAGUAAAUGAACUCGCCGCGGCGCCACUCCCACGACAGCCGCCAGUUGUCGAGGCGGCCGAGCUUGGCGUUGUUCUCGAGCGUGACAAGCGCCAGGUAGCUGGUCGGGUAUGCCUGGACGACGUCGUAGGUGAUGACGAGGUCGCCGGUGCGGCGCGGGAGGAAGCUCUUGGUGGGGUCGGUGGCGUUGGCCUCGGGGACCGUGGCGUUGGCCUCGGCCUCGGGGGUGAGGAGGCAACAGGUGGUGAGGAUGGUGGCGGUGACAUUGGUCGCCGCCGGGCAGUUGUAGUCCGGGUCGUGGAGCGUCAAGGCGGUGGGCAGCGGCUCCGGCACGAGGCCGCGCGGGCCGGCGAAGAGCGUGCCGACCAAUCCGACGGAGGCCUGGAUCUGCGUGAUGUCCCCGGCGGUGGCAAUCGGCGUGAGGAGGUCCGUCUGCGGGUACCCGGAGAAGGAGGUGGCGUUGCCGGCGUCAUCGGUGGUGUUGUAGGGCAGCUCGGCCCCGCCGGUGAGCACGGCGCCGCCGACGCCGACGAGGAUCUCGUCGUGGCCGAAGGUGACGAGCAUCGCCCAGGACCUGAGCGGGCGGGUGCCGCCGUUGAGCACGGAGGCGUUGGCCUUGAAGGAGUAAGGCUGCUUGUUCCUGUCGGGGACGAAUGGGCGGAUCUUCUCGCGGCCCUGGAGGUUGUAGGUGAGCUGGAUGCCGUUGCAGCCGGGGUCGGGCGCGGGCGCCCUCGGCGUCUGCUGGGCGGCCGCGAGCCCCGCGAGCAGCAGGAUGGCCCCGAGGACCACGGCCUGGGCGGCAAUCGAGCCGACCAUGGCUGGAUCGGCAAGGGAGGAGGCGAUUUGGGGGGGAGCGAGGCGAGGCGGGGCGGGGCAGCAGAUAGAUGA
Molecule: ribosomal RNA, 1062 nt
Filed under: Triticum aestivum (bread wheat)
Lineage: Eukaryota; Viridiplantae; Streptophyta; Magnoliopsida; Poales; Poaceae
Description: partial small subunit ribosomal RNA
Source: RNAcentral